CAAGAAAUAGGGUUUUAACUAAAGCGAACUAGGGUUUUGCCGAUGAAAGGAAUGAAGCAAACAUAAUCAUUAGAUGCAAAAGAAAGAAAUUCAAAACCCUAGAAAUUUGUUUAACCUAUAGAAAUUAACCAAAAAGGAGAAAAAAAAAAGGAAUUAUCAAAUAUAUAUACAUAUAUACCAGCAGGGACAUGGUUGAGGGCGAUGCCGGUGCUGGAGAGGGCGUGCUGUACAGAUUGUGGAAUUCGAAUGGUGUCGCCGUAGGCGGAGAUGGAGACAGGCCCACAGUAAUUCAUGUUGACAAGAGCAGAGCUUAUGUUCUGGGCAAUUGCGUGGGGAUCGCAGCCCCUAGGCACCUGGCAGUUUUCUAUGUCCCACCACACAGAAGUCUUGGCCGACACGUACUGCGCCUCCGCUACACCCCCUCCCCCUCUCCGCGCCUGUGACUGGGCCGCCUUUGCAGACGACCCAGGAGACGCGGCGGCGGCAGAGGUGACAGUGGAGUUUACGCCUCCCGUCACAUCUCCAACCAUGGCGCACGAUAGCACGGUGAAAAAGGCUCAAGAAAGCAUCUGCGGGUGUAAAUGUUGGUAUUUCUGGGUUAUUGGCUUCUUU
Molecule: unclassified non-coding RNA, 612 nt
Filed under: Hevea brasiliensis (rubber tree)
Lineage: Eukaryota; Viridiplantae; Streptophyta; Magnoliopsida; Malpighiales; Euphorbiaceae
Source: RNAcentral